CUUCAGUGAUGAUACGAUGACGAGUCGGAAUGGGACACACCCAGUCUUUGGGGCCCUCAGAGUCAUGUUUUGUGUCUUUGGGUUCAGUGCCCCAGAGCAGUGUGUUUCUUCAGUUGAGGACAUCGAGGCAUUUGUCUGAGAAGG
Small nucleolar RNA from Esox lucius (northern pike), 144 nucleotides. NCBI's taxonomy places the organism in Eukaryota, Metazoa, Chordata, Actinopteri, Esociformes, Esocidae. The record is from Ensembl.